Molecule: non-coding RNA, 1550 nt
Organism: Acyrthosiphon pisum (pea aphid)
Lineage: Eukaryota; Metazoa; Arthropoda; Insecta; Hemiptera; Aphididae
Source: Rfam
CCCAAGUUACUUGGAUAACUGUGGUAAUUCUAGAGCUAAUACAUGCCGACAGAGUUCCGACCGUCGCGGCGCCCUCGGGCGUCGCUCGCGGGAGGAACGCUUUUAUUACAUCAAAACCGGCCCGUCGCGGCGCGCUUCGUGCGCGUCCCGAUCGCGGCCCGCGCAAAGACCUGGUGACUCUGAAUAACUUCAAGCUGAUCGCACGGUCUCCGUACCGGCGACGCAUCUUUCAAAUGUCUGCCUUAUCAACUGUCGAUGGUAGGUUCCAUGCCUACCAUGGUGGUAACGGGUAACGGGGAAUCAGGGUUCGAUUCCGGAGAGGGAGCCUGAGAAACGGCUACCACAUCCAAGGAAGGCAGCAGGCGCGCAAAUUACCCACUCCCGGAACGGGGAGGUAGUGACGAAAAAUAACGAUACGGGACUCAUCCGAGGCCCCGUAAUCGGAAUGAGAACACUUUAAAACCUUUAAACGAGGAUCAAUUGGAGGGCAAGUCUGGUGCCAGCAGCCGCGGUAAUUCCAGCUCCAAUAGCGUAUAUUAAAGUUGUUGCGGUUAAAAAGCUCGUAGUCGGAUCUGUGUCUGGACGGUGCCGGACCACCCUGGCGGUCCGUCGUGUCGCGGCCGGCCGUGUCGCGGGACCACGUGUCCCGUCGGCGCGGUCGCCGUCGCGCUCGUCAGCCGUCUCGGGGUGUUAGUUACCGGCACGUCGGCCGGACGUAUUGUCGGCAGGCGGACACGUGUCUCGUGCUUCCGGCGCGCCGCGCGGCCACGCGUCGCGCGGCCGUCGGUGUUCGACGACGGCGGCCGCCUACUCCAAUCUUGCUGCGCGGUGCUCUUCACCGAGUGCCGUCGGCGGGCCGACACGUUUACUUUGAACAAAUUAUAGUGCUCAAAGCAGGCUCGAAUCUGGCGGGGCGGCUUCACGGCCGUCUCGUCAAAAGGCCCUGAAUACUGGUCGCAUGGAAUAAUGGAACAAGACCUCGGUCCCGCGCAUCUCCGCCCUUCGCGGGCGCGCGAAAUCGCCCUCCGGGGCGUUUCCGUGCGCGGGCCGCCGGGCCGCGGGCGCCAGUCGCCCGCGCGUCCCGCCGGGCCGGUUUUCGGGACCGGAGGUAAUGAUCAACAGAGACGGGCGGGGGCAUUCGUACCGAGACGUUAGAGGUGAAAUUCUUGGAUCGUCUCGAGACGAACUGACGCGAAAGCAUUUGCCAAGUACGUUCUCGUAUGAUCAAGAACGAAAGUUAGAGGUUCGAAGGCGAUCAGAUACCGCCCUAGUUCUAACUGUAAACGAUGCCAGCUAGCGAUCCGCCGGCGUUUCAUUAACGACCCGGCGGGCAGCUUCCGGGAAACCGAAGCUUUUCGGUUCCGGGGGAAGUAUGAUUGCAAAGUUGAAACUUAAAGGAAUUGACGGAAGGGCACCACCAGGAGUGGAGCCUGCGGGCUUAAUUUGACUCAACACGGGAAACCCUCACCACGCCCGGACACCGGAAAAGAUUGACAGAUUGAGAGCUCUUUCUUGAUUUCGGUGGGUGGUGGUGCAUGGGCCGGUUCUUA